RNAcentral lists this transfer RNA (75 nucleotides) under Verrucomicrobiaceae bacterium. RNAcentral's name for it is "tRNA-Thr". It matches the Rfam family "tRNA". From Rfam's summary of the family: Transfer RNA (tRNA) molecules are approximately 80 nucleotides in length. Lineage: Bacteria; Pseudomonadati; Verrucomicrobiota; Verrucomicrobiia; Verrucomicrobiales; Verrucomicrobiaceae. The record is from RNAcentral.
GCCGCUAUAACUCAGUGGUAGAGUAGUUGUUUCGUAAACAACAAGUCAGCGGUUCGAAUCCGCUUAGCGGCUCCA